ACGCGGCGGUGCUUACCAUGCAAGUCGAACGGAAAGGCCCUUCGGGGUACUCGAGUGGCGAACGGGUGAGUAACACGUGGGUGAUCUGCCCUGCACUCUGGGAUAAGCCUGGGAAACUGGGUCUAAUACCGGAUAGGACCACACACUUCAUGGUGAGUGGUGCAAAGCUUUUGCGGUGUGGGAUGAGCCCGCGGCCUAUCAGCUUGUUGGUGGGGUAAUGGCCCACCAAGGCGACGACGGGUAGCCGGCCUGAGAGGGUGACCGGCCACACUGGGACUGAGAUACGGCCCAGACUCCUACGGGAGGCAGCAGUGGGGAAUAUUGCACAAUGGGCGCAAGCCUGAUGCAGCGACGCCGCGUGAGGGAUGACGGCCUUCGGGUUGUAAACCUCUUUCAGUAGGGACGAAGCGAAAGUGACGGUACCUACAGAAGAAGGACCGGCCAACUACGUGCCAGCAGCCGCGGUAAUACGUAGGGUCCGAGCGUUGUCCGGAAUUACUGGGCGUAAAGAGCUCGUAGGUGGUUUGUCGCGUUGUUCGUGAAAACUCACAGCUUAACUGUGGGCGUGCGGGCGAUACGGGCAGACUAGAGUACUGCAGGGGAGACUGGAAUUCCGGGUGUAGCGGGGGAAUGCGCAAAUAUCAGGAGGAACACCGGUGGCGAAGGCGGGUCUCUGGGCAGUAACUGACGCU
Molecule: ribosomal RNA, 692 nt
Filed under: Mycobacteroides abscessus
Lineage: Bacteria; Bacillati; Actinomycetota; Actinomycetes; Mycobacteriales; Mycobacteriaceae
Description: bacterial SSU rRNA
Rfam family: Bacterial small subunit ribosomal RNA
Source: RNAcentral